Long non-coding RNA from Lolium rigidum, 1131 nucleotides. RefSeq lists it as uncharacterized. The transcript has 3 exons. The record is from RefSeq and is a predicted model, not a curated record. NCBI's taxonomy places the organism in Eukaryota, Viridiplantae, Streptophyta, Magnoliopsida, Poales, Poaceae.
CUCUCUAAAGAGCCCGCUGAUAAGGUGUUACCCAGAUUGUGUGCAACCUUCGAAAAGCUCAUGUAGAAGCACCUUUAAUCAUGCUCUGAUUGUCGUACCGAUUCACUGUUUCACGGUUUUUUCAUCUCUCCCAAGACGCAACCAGCAAGGCGCCAUACAGAUUGUAUGCAAGCAUUAAAAAGCUCACAUCUUACUAAUGUAGGUGCUCCUCCUACACUUCGGAGAUGAAUUGCAGCUCGCGGCCUCUCCUACUGCACACCCAAGGGUGACACCCUCCACUGACUAGCAUCUAAAGAUGCCUGCGGCCACAUCGUCGCGUGAGUAAGCUUCAACGGAAUAGAUCUAGAAAGGGAUCUGCCGAUGGAACUCCGAAGGACGAAGACUCAAGAACAGAUAUUUAGUCAAAGAAGAACCGCCAAAGCCUGAGGCAUGUUACAUUGGUACCCAAUAAAAAUUUGAUUACAUUGUAGCAGAUAUGAGUGACUAAUCCAGUCAUCCAGAUGACGUGACAUUGUAGCAGAUAUGAGUGACUAAUCCAGUCAUCCAGAUGACGUCAAUGCAAAUAGGUAAGGCAUUGUUCUUGCAGGCCAUUUAUUCUAUCUUAUUACUUUUGGCUUUCAUAUACAAGAUAGACAAUCGUAUGUAUCAUGUAAAUGGGAGAAUUUUUCCUCUUUCGGAUCUAUUACAGAACACACUUUUUUUCUGCUAUUUACUUAUGCAGUAGCUGGUUCAUGUGUCCAUGUUAUCUGGGUAGAUCGUUAGUACAACAUGUAUGACUAUUUAUUUGUAUUCUAAAUGGGAGUAGUUUUCCUCUUUCGGCUCUACCAUAUGAACUACUAGGAAUAAAUACAUUACCAUCACGAAUUUGUGGUUUGACCAAUUUGUUGUCAAGUAUAGCAAAUCUGCUCCGAGCAAAAUGGACUGUGAGGGAGGGAAUGGAGCAUGGUUAUAAUAUUUCUGGUUGCCUACCACAAACUGUCUGGUUAAAACAGUAACACAGUACUGCGGGGUUCAGGUAGUGGCCAAAGCUGCUACAAUCUUCACCGUAACAAAUUGUGCAUAACUAAACUAAUCAAUCAUAUUAAUGCCACGAUUUUACUCGCUCUGGAGUUGUUGCUGGAACUACAUAAU